This 236-nucleotide long non-coding RNA is filed under the name Brassica napus (rape). RNAcentral's name for it is "long non-coding RNA (BNAP_LNC020206)". The record is from RNAcentral. Lineage: Eukaryota; Viridiplantae; Streptophyta; Magnoliopsida; Brassicales; Brassicaceae.
GUGGAUCUUGGAAUCUGUUAGGAGCAUAGGAACCUUACCCAUGUGAACCUGAACCUUUAACCUUAGGAGCCAUUCAACCAACCUUACAGAAUUCGGGACAAAUUCUUUUUAAGGGGGGUAGAAUGUAGUGACCCUGUCUUAGGGUAGUUUGUGAUCGAGAAAACCAAAAUCUCUAGAUUAGGUAAACCUUGGAUGGGAUGGUGUGCAUGGUCCAAAAGAAGACAUCUUGUCAAAGA